CAGUUCGCACAAGUUCACUUAAAUGUUCAUUAGUUAGUUCAGAUCGAUAUUUAGAUUUAACGCUUUUAAUUGGCCGCCAUGCCAAUCUAUAAAAACGAUUGUAAUGAUAACGAAACUAACGGAAAUAAAAACACUAUCUAACGAUUCUAGCGGAAUUAUAUAUUUAUUAAUUUUAGUCUAAGCCUGGUUCAAGAGCCGCACGAAACUGAUUUAAGAGCUAUCGAGCCUCGUUUUGACCACCCCUGAGAUAUAAUAUAAAUAGUACAUUUUUGUCUAAAAAUUUUUGUAACACAAGAAUUAAAAAUAACUGUAACUAAAUUGCACCACGUACUCACUCUGAUUUUGGUAAUUAAAGUCCAAUAAUUAGAG
Molecule: non-coding RNA, 369 nt
Organism: Cinara cedri
Lineage: Eukaryota; Metazoa; Arthropoda; Insecta; Hemiptera; Aphididae
Source: the annotation of a GenBank genome assembly